This 845-nucleotide ribosomal RNA is filed under the name uncultured bacterium. RNAcentral's name for it is "bacterial SSU rRNA". It matches the Rfam family "Bacterial small subunit ribosomal RNA", at positions 28 to 897 of the family's 1533-position model. The record is from RNAcentral.
GACGAACGCUGGCGGCGUGCCUAACACAUGCAAGUCGAGCGAGGAACUUCGGUUCCUAGCGGCGGACGGGUGAGUAACACGUGGGUAACCUGCCUCAAAGAGGGGGAUAGCCUCCCGAAAGGGAGAUUAAUACCGCAUAACAUUAAAUUACCGCAUGGUAGUUUAAUUAAAGGAGUAAUCCGCUUUGAGAUGGACCCGCGGCGCAUUAGCUAGUUGGUGAGGUAACGGCUCACCAAGGCCACGAUGCGUAGCCGACCUGAGAGGGUGAUCGACCACAUUGGAACUGAGAUACGGUCCAGACUCCUACGGGAGGCAGCAGUGGGGAAUAUUGCACAAUGGGCGAAAGCCUGAUGCGGCAACGCCGCGUGAGUGAUGAAGGCCUUCGGGUUGUAAAGCUCUGUCUUUGGGGACGAUUAUGACGGUACCCAAGGAGGAAGCCACGGCUAACUACGUGCCAGCAGCCGCGGUAAUACGUAGGUGGCAAGCGUUGUCCGGAUUUACUGGGCGUAAAGGAUGCGUAGGCGGAUAUUUAAGUCAGAUGUGAAAUACCCGAGCUUAACUUGGGUGCUGCAUUUGAAACUGGAUAUCUAGAGUGUGGGAGAGGAAAGUGGAAUUCCUAGUGUAGCGGUGAAAUGCGUAGAGAUUAGGAAGAACACCAGUGGCGAAGGCGACUUUCUGGACCAUAACUGACGCUGAGGCAUGAAAGCGUGGGGAGCAAACAGGAUUAGAUACCCUGGUAGUCCACGCCGUAAACGAUGGGUACUAGGUGUAGGGGGUAUCGACUCCCUCUGUGCCGCAGUUAACACAAUAAGUACCCCGCCUGGGGAGUACGGUCGCAAGAUUAA